Molecule: ribosomal RNA, 253 nt
Filed under: uncultured bacterium
Lineage: Bacteria
Description: partial 16S ribosomal RNA
Rfam family: Bacterial small subunit ribosomal RNA
Source: RNAcentral
CACGUAGGGGACGAGCGUUGUCCGGAUUCAUUGGGCGUAAAGCGCGCGUAGGCGGCUCGGAAAGUCGGGCGUGAAAUGCCGAGGCUCAACCUCGGGUCUGCAGUCGAUGCGAGCAAACUAGAGUGUUGCAGGGGAGACUGGAAUUCCUGGUGUAGCGGUGAAAUGCGCAGAUAUCAGGAGGAACACCGGUGGCGAAGGCGGGUCUCUGGGCAACAACUGACGCUGAGGAGCGAAAGCGUGGGGAGCGAACAGG